Molecule: transfer RNA, 73 nt
Filed under: bacterium
Lineage: Bacteria
Also listed under: 2 other names
Description: tRNA-Phe
Rfam family: tRNA
About the family: Transfer RNA (tRNA) molecules are approximately 80 nucleotides in length.
Source: RNAcentral
GCCGCGGUAGCUCAGGUAGUAGAGCGCAGCUCUGAAAAAGCUGAGGUCACCAGUGCAAGUCUGGUCCGCGGCA